UCUUCAGACACAGAAGCAUCAGUGAUGGCAACGAAUGUGGUUGUGGUGCAGCAACAACUGCCUCAGGUUCAGCCUGUUGUCAUGGUCAGAUCCGACUCGUGGAGUACAGGGCUUUGUGACUGCUUUGACGACAUGAGUGCCUGCUGCUGUGCAUUUUGGUGUUUCCCUUGUUUUGCCUGCAUGACAACUGGGGACUUCAAUGAAUUUUGUGGACUGCCUUGUUUUGACUUGUUCAGUUGUGUUCCCCUGGCCGCUUUGUCCUUAAGAUAUGGAGUGAGGAAACAGUAUGGCAUACAGGGGAGCCUCUGCUCUGACUGUGUAUCUGUAACCUUCUGCAACCUAUGCUCAUGGUGCCAGGUGGCUCGUGAAAUAAAGAGACGCAAACAGUCCUUCGCAGUGAUCAGCCUUCAACCCACCGUCAUCCAGAGUCCAG
Molecule: long non-coding RNA, 433 nt
Organism: Alosa sapidissima (American shad)
Lineage: Eukaryota; Metazoa; Chordata; Actinopteri; Clupeiformes; Clupeidae
Exons: 3
Source: RefSeq, a predicted model, not a curated record